GUCGUUAGAUAAAAAGCGCUCUGAAAUGUUUUAUUUUGUACAUGUCUUUCCUAGGCUCGGCAUUUUCUAUGAAUGCGAUGAAUCUCCAGUUGUGAACCGGUGCCGAACCACGAUUUUUUAAAGGAAAAAAAUAAGCAAUGUUAGGAGAACAUGCAAAAAUGUUAAUGCAUUAACCGUAUUAAUCCUUCAAGGGGUCGUGCUUCUACAAUACAUGUUCCUCCCCCUAAAUCCGCAUCUGUUGAAUUAAAACUGAUUUUAAUGCUACAUAUUAUUGUAAGUAUUAUGCUAUUAAUUCUG
RNAcentral lists this long non-coding RNA (297 nucleotides) under Mytilus galloprovincialis (Mediterranean mussel). The record is from RNAcentral. Lineage: Eukaryota; Metazoa; Mollusca; Bivalvia; Mytilida; Mytilidae.